Long non-coding RNA from Homo sapiens (human), 1426 nucleotides. Ensembl annotates it as long intergenic non-protein coding RNA 1524. The record is from Ensembl. NCBI's taxonomy places the organism in Eukaryota, Metazoa, Chordata, Mammalia, Primates, Hominidae.
AAUGUACUUCAAUGGACUUUAUGGGGAACAAGAAGACAUCUUCUCACUAGGGCUACAAAGUGCAUAGAAUGCAUGUUGGAUGCUCUGUUACUGUGAAGGGAGAGUCACCCAGAUAAUAAAGCCAGCAUUGAGGUCAAGAGGAACAGCAUCGAUUGUUAAUAUGCUGUCUGCUUUCAACCCCCAAAGGAUUAUUUUCAGAAUGAAAUGAUCUGUGGUCUUUAAGGGGUGGGGAUGGGAGGAGCUGAAGAACUCUCGAUCCUUCGAAGAGGUCCCAGUGGACUUGAUUUCUCAGUGGAAACAGAGGGAUUUCCUUCUGCAGUGGGAAAGAGACACGAAGUGAUAAACCGAGCACCCUCUUUGAAGAUUUCCCAGUAUAUUUGUCCCUAGAGGAGUGCGCCUCCGGGAGAUUUAUUGUUGGAAGCUUUUAUCCUCAAGCGUAAUUUUUAGAACACCUGCCAUCUUGUGGAAAGGGACUUGCUUCCCAAGAGAUGAGAAAUGGACAGGAGUGGAGCCUGAGUCCAAGUACUGUGAUUUCUUAUCUCCCACAAAUGUGCAGGAAUAUUUAGUCAGGGAGAUCAUCUUCCUGGAGAAAUUGGCCCAUCCUACUCCUAGAGUGCUGUGUUAGUUGUAGUUCCUCCAGGUGCCACCUCGAAGACCAGGGUCAGAGUACAGUCGCUUACAUGGGAGGUAAAUCCACAAAACAGUGGCGGAAGAGGGGGAAAAUGAGACAAGGAUGGGAAGGCAAUCAGGAAAGGGCAUGUUAUCAAGCAAGGCACUGUUCUGGGCAAUUGGAGCUUACACCUGCUAGGGAAGCCUGAGACAGUGGGGAACAUGUACCUCACAGUGAUGCUCGUGAGGGCCGGGGGAACUGGGAUAUUAAUCCACCAAUUCCAUCUGUUACUGAUUGAGGGCUGCUUACUGGCGGUAUUGAUUCCCUGGCACUUCAGGUCAGAGAAAGCCUUCGGUCAUAGAGAACAUGAAGCCAUGGGGCCCAGAGUGCCCAGGGCUGAGUGGAUGUGGGCGAUGGCCAAUGACAAUGGCUACCAACAGUGGAUUGGAUCUUUGGCAUCUCAUUUCUUCUAAGUCUCCUUAACCUCUGUGCUUGGUGCUGAGGUGAAGCAAACAAUUAAGAUCCAGUGUUGUCCUUAGGAUGCUCACACUUCAGUGAGGGAGUUGAGGAAGCUAAACAGGCUUGAAGAGCAAAGACUGAGGUUUCCAAACGAAGACACCAUUAUGUCUCAAGACUGGAACAUGGAAACCCUGCCUGAGUUUUCUACCUGCUGGCCUACCUGCAGAUUCAGACACUAGACUGCAACAUCAACUCGUACUUGAAUUUCCAGUCUGCCUGUCUGCCCUACAGAUUUUGGACUUGCCAGCCCCCACAAUUGCAUGAGCAAAUUAAAAAAAAAAAUCUUAUUUCUCUCUC